GGACUUCCACAAUUUUGUCUUCUCUAUGAAAGCAAGUAAUCCUGUGGUCAUGGUCCAAGCUUAUCGGCUGCUUGUUGCAGAAAUGUAUGUUCAGGGUUGGGAUUAUCCUCUUCACCUUGGAGUUACUGAAGCCGGAGAGGGUGAAGAUGGACGAAUGAAAUCUGCGAUUGGUAUUGGAACUCUUCUUCAGGAUGGUUUGGGCGAUACAAUCAGAGUUUCCCUCACUGAACCACCAGAGGAAGAGAUUGAUCCUUGCAGGCGGCUAGCAAACCUUGGCAUGCAAGCUUCAAGUCUUAAUAAGGGUGUGGCGCCUUUUGAAGAGAAACAUAGGCGUUAUUUUGACUUCCAACGAAGGAGUGGCCAAUUACCAGUACAAAAGGAGGGUGACGAGGUGGAUUACCGUGGAGUUCUGCAUCGUGAUGGUUCUGUUCUUAUGUCAGUAUCCUUGGAUCAGUUGAAGACACCAGAACUUCUCUACAAGUCGCUUGCAGCAAAACUUGUGGUUGGCAUGCCAUUUAAGGAUCUGGCAACAGUAGACUCGAUUCUUCUGAGAGAACUUCCUCAAGCGGAUGAUAUCGAUGGUAGAUUAGCUCUCAAAAGGUUGAUCGAUAUAAGCAUAGGCGUUUUGACUCCUCUGUCAGAACAGCUCACAAAGCCACUUCCUAAUGCCAUUGUCCUCGUCAACCUCAAGGAACUUUCAUCCGGUGCUCACAAGCUUCUGCCAGAAGGCACUCGGCUAGCCGCCACUAUCCGUGGGGAUGAACCCUAUGAGGAGUUAGACAUUCUCAAAGACGUCGAAGACAUCACAAUGUUGCUGCAUAAUUUGCCAUAUGGUGAAGAAAAAAUCAGCCGGGUUCAUGCAGCAAGAAGGUUGUUUGAGUACCUGGAGACCAAUGCUUUAAGUUUCCCUGUGAUUCACCACAUACAGUUCCCCGAAGAGAUCCACAGAGAUGACUUGGUCAUAGGUGCUGGGGCCAAUGUCGGUGCGCUCCUUGUUGACGGACUUGGAGACGGUCUACUACUCGAGGCAUGCGAUCAAGACUUUGAUUUCUUGAGAAAUACAUCCUUCAAUCUGCUUCAGGGUUGCAGAAUGCGCAAUACAAAAACUGAGUAUGUCUCGUGCCCAUCCUGCGGACGCACCCUAUUCGACCUUCAAGAGAUAAGCGCUCAGAUAAGGGAGAAGACACUACAUUUACCCGGAGUUUCUAUUGCAAUCAUGGGAUGUAUCGUGAAUGGACCAGGAGAGAUGGCCGAUGCAGAUUUCGGGUAUGUAGGUGGUGCUCCGGGAAAGAUCGACCUCUAUGUCGGGAAGACGGUGGUAAAGAGGGCAAUUGCGAUGGAACAUGCAACGGAUGCCUUGAUCCAGCUAAUUAAAGACCAUGGCCGAUGGGUGGACCCACCCGCUGAAGAAUGAAAUAUUGCUAUGCAGAAUGAUCAAAUUACUGGAGCAUGCGAGGUUACUAAUGAUUGAAUGUGAUGUUGGUGAAAAUCGAUUAGGAAGUUAGUACCGAAGUAUCUUGUAUGGUUAUAGUUCAUAUCGGUGAGAAUUAUUGGACACCCUAUCGAAGUUUCUAGUUUUAACUUUUUCGAAUGCAGACAGUAUGGUUAAUACUUCAUGUCCAGAUUUGUCAAGAAACUAAAAGCCUGAAAAUUGAGGGUCUAG
Molecule: unclassified non-coding RNA, 1663 nt
Filed under: Hevea brasiliensis (rubber tree)
Lineage: Eukaryota; Viridiplantae; Streptophyta; Magnoliopsida; Malpighiales; Euphorbiaceae
Source: RNAcentral